CUUUAACAGAGCUACUGCAGACAGAACAAGGGAAACAGCUCUGCCAAUAGCUCCCAGUGUGUGUGUGUGUGUGUGUGUGUGUGUGUGUGUGUGUGUGUGUGUGUGUGUGUGUGUGUGUGUGUGUGUGUGUGUGUGUGUGUGUGUGUGUGUGUGUGUGUGUGUGUGUGUGUGUGUGUGUGUGUGUGUAAGCCCUAUGCAUGACUGCUAGUCUUCUGAGCGAGUAGACUGCCGUCUGGUCGUCAUGGUUGUGUUGGACUGAAUGGAGCCGCUCUCCAUUUCUACGGAAUUAUCAAUUGGCAUCCUCCAGCUGUCCUCUCGGUCGUCCCAAUAUGCCCCCUGCUGAGGCUGCUGACACAUGGAGACGAUGAGCUGGGACCCCUCCACACAGGAAGUGCACAAGGUUGCCCAGACAAGAGCGUCUAUCAACACACAGCGGGAAUUGAAAACGGGUUUCUUCAGAGCGAGAAAAUGAAAGAAAAAGGAUGUCGGUGGGCGGAGCCAGGAGGGUCGUUAGCGAAACGGGACUCACCUGGGCUUGGGUGUGUCCCGGAGAUAAAUACACCUUUCCCCCAUACAUUGAAGAGACUCUCUCCACAUAGACACUGUUGUUUUUGGUUCUGGCGAUUUGGGGCUUCUUUGUGUUCAUUUGUUUUGGCACCUCUCAACACCCCUCAUUAUCACCAUCUAUGCGCACAACCACUCACACUACUGAC
This 713-nucleotide long non-coding RNA is filed under the name Salmo salar (Atlantic salmon). RNAcentral's name for it is "lncRNA (ENSSSAG00000089825.1)". Lineage: Eukaryota; Metazoa; Chordata; Actinopteri; Salmoniformes; Salmonidae. The record is from RNAcentral.